CCCCUCCAGAUUCCUGACCCCUCAGCUCUAAAUAUUGAUCUGCGUGGCUAAAAAAGGAGGCAAAGCUAAACUGAAGUGGGCUUGGAGUCUUUAGUGACACACAGUUCAUUGCAAACAUUA
This 120-nucleotide small nucleolar RNA is filed under the name Echinops telfairi (small Madagascar hedgehog). RNAcentral's name for it is "Small nucleolar RNA SNORA61 (ENSETEG00000026361.1)". The record is from RNAcentral. Lineage: Eukaryota; Metazoa; Chordata; Mammalia; Afrosoricida; Tenrecidae.